Molecule: non-coding RNA, 78 nt
Organism: Pelobates cultripes (western spadefoot toad)
Lineage: Eukaryota; Metazoa; Chordata; Amphibia; Anura; Pelobatidae
Source: the annotation of a GenBank genome assembly
UGUGUGUGUGUGUGUGCAUGUGUAUAUAUAUAUAUAUAUAAAUAUAUAUAUAUAUACACAUGCACACACACACACACA